RNAcentral lists this ribosomal RNA (511 nucleotides) under uncultured Glomus. RNAcentral's name for it is "SSU rRNA". It matches the Rfam family "Eukaryotic small subunit ribosomal RNA", at positions 569 to 1084 of the family's 1831-position model. The record is from RNAcentral. Lineage: Eukaryota; Fungi; Glomeromycota; Glomeromycetes; Glomerales; Glomeraceae.
AGCAGCCACGGUAAUUCCAGCUCCAAUAGCGUAUAUUAAAGUUGUUGCAGUUAAAAAGCUCGUAGUUGAAUUUCGGGGUCGGUAGGUUGGUCAUGCCUCAGGUAUGCACUGGUCUCACUGAUUCCUCCUUCCUGAUGAGCCGUAAUGCCAUUAAUUUGGUGUUGCGAGGAAUCUGGACUGUUACUUUGAAAAAUUAGAGUGUUUAAAGCAAGCUAACGCUUGAAUACAUUAGCAUGGAAUAAUGGAAUAGGACGUUCGAUCCUAUUUUGUUGGUUUCUAGGAUCGACGUAAUGAUUAAUAGGGAUAGUUGGGGGCAUUAGUAUUCAAUUGUCAGAGGUGAAAUUCUUGGAUUUAUUGAAGACUAACUACUGCGAAAGCAUUUGCCAAGGAUGUUUUACAUUAAUCAAGAACGAAAGUUAGGGGAUCGAAGACGAUCAGAUACCGUCGUAAGUCUUAACCAUAAACUAUGCCGACUAGGGAUCGGAUGAUGUUGAUUUUUAANGUACUCUAA